GACGAACGCUGGCGGCGUGCCUAAUACAUGCAAGUAGGACGCAGUUGCGAACGUGUGAGUAACGCGUAGGUAACUACCUAUUAGAGGGGGAUAACUAUUGGAAACGAUAGCUAAUACCGCAUACUAGUAGAUGGACCUGCGUUGUAUUAGCUAGUAGGUAGGGUAAUGGCCUACCUAGGCAACGAUACAUAGCCGGCCUGAGGGGGGGAACGGCCACACUGGGACUGGGACACGGCCCAGAGUCCUGAGGGAGGCCGCAGUAGGGAAUCUUCGGACAUGGGGGGAACCCUGACCGGGCAACGCCGCGUGAGUGAAGAAGGUUUUCGGAUCGUAAAGCUCUGUUGGUAAGGAAGCGGUACUUAACCAGAAAGGAACGGCUAACUACGUGCCAGCAGCCGCGGUAAUAC
Molecule: ribosomal RNA, 407 nt
Filed under: uncultured bacterium
Lineage: Bacteria
Description: partial 16S ribosomal RNA
Rfam family: Bacterial small subunit ribosomal RNA
Source: RNAcentral